This 1455-nucleotide ribosomal RNA is filed under the name uncultured marine bacterium. RNAcentral's name for it is "partial 16S ribosomal RNA". It matches the Rfam family "Bacterial small subunit ribosomal RNA". The record is from RNAcentral.
ACGCUGGCGGCGCGCUUAACACAUGCAAGUCGAACGAUGAAGCUGGAGCUUGCUCCAGUGGAUUAGUGGCGAACGGGUGAGUAACACGUGAGAAAUCUGCCCCUGACUCUGGGAUAACUGCGGGAAACUGUAGCUAAUACCGGAUACUUUCCCCGGUGGGCAUCCACUGGGGAAGAAAGAAUUUCGGUCAGGGAGGAUCUCGCGGCCUAUCAGCUUGUUGGUGAGGUAACGGCUCACCAAGGCGACGACGGGUAACCGGCCUGAGAGGGUGACCGGUCACACUGGGACUGAGACACGGCCCAGACUCCUACGGGAGGCAGCAGUGGGGAAUUUUGGACAAUGGGCGCAAGCCUGAUCCAGCAAUACCGCGUGCAGGAAGAAGGCCUUCGGGUUGUAAACUGCUUUUGUACGGAACGAAAAGGUCCUGGUUAAUACCUGGGGCUCAUGACGGUACCGUAAGAAUAAGCACCGGCUAACUACGUGCCAGCAGCCGCGGUAAUACGUAGGGUGCGAGCGUUAAUCGGAAUUACUGGGCGUAAAGCGUGCGCAGGCGGUUAUGUAAGACAGGUGUGAAAUCCCCGAGCUCAACUUGGGAAUUGCACUUGUGACUGCAUAACUAGAGUGCGGCAGAGGGGGAUGGAAUUCCGCGUGUAGCAGUGAAAUGCGUAGAUAUGCGGAGGAACACCGAUGGCGAAGGCAAUCCCCUGGGCCUGCACUGACGCUCAUGCACGAAAGCGUGGGGAGCAAACAGGAUUAGAUACCCUGGUAGUCCACGCCCUAAACGAUGUCAACUGGUUGUUGGGAAUUCACUUUCUCAGUAACGAAGCUAACGCGUGAAGUUGACCGCCUGGGGAGUACGGCCGCAAGGUUGAAACCCAAAGGAAUUGACGGGGGCCCGCACAAGCGGCGGAGCAUGCGGAUUAAUUCGAUGCAACGCGAAGAACCUUACCAAGGCUUGGCAUAUAGAGGAAAAGUGCAGAAAUGCACUCCCCGCAAGGUCUCUAUACAGGUGGUGCAUGGUUGUCGUCAGCUCGUGUCGUGAGAUGUUGGGUUAAGUCCCGCAACGAGCGCAACCCUCGUCCUAUGUUGCCAGCACGUUAUGGUGGGAACUCAUGGGAUACUGCCGGGGUCAACUCGGAGGAAGGUGGGGAUGACGUCAAAUCAUCAUGCCCCUUAUGUCUUGGGCUUCACGCAUGCUACAAUGGCCGGUACAGAGGGCUGCAAUACCGUAAGGUGGAGCGAAUCCCAAAAAGCCGGUCUCAGUUCGGAUUGAGGUCUGCAACUCGACCUCAUGAAGUCGGAGUCGCUAGUAAUCGUAGAUCAGCAACGCUACGGUGAAUACGUUCCCGGGCCUUGUACACACCGCCCGUCAAGUCACGAAAGUCGAUAACACCCGAAGCCGGUGGCCUAACCGCAAGGAGGGAGCCGUCGAAGGUGGGAUUGGUGAUUGGGACU